Rhagoletis pomonella (apple maggot) is the source of this 1299-nucleotide long non-coding RNA. RefSeq lists it as uncharacterized. The record is from RefSeq and is a predicted model, not a curated record. The transcript is spliced from 2 exons. Lineage: Eukaryota; Metazoa; Arthropoda; Insecta; Diptera; Tephritidae.
UUUGACGAUCGUGCCAAUCAGUAGCCGUUCAAGAGCAAGUUCGACGUCGGCACAUUGGCAGUGUUGAGAAGGAAAACUUUUCUAAAUUCAGUGACUAAGUGAAUUGUGUUGUAAAAAUUUUUACUUGAAUAAAAGUGGCAGUAAAGUACCAGUUUUGUGCAAAAGUUUUAAAGUAAUAGAACCGCAACGCGUACUUAGGAGACGCCACCGUUAAGAAGCCUGCGACUAUCUACAAUGGAUUUGAAAACAACAGGACCAGCGGUGAGGUCUAGCGCAAACACACAACAUACAUAUGUACUCGCAUGUGCUCAUAUCUUCACCACACCGCCGUUGUGGCUGUAAGCAGCAGCAUCAGCAGCUUUAGAAAAAAUGCCGAAUUCCAGAAGCGACUACUAAACAAUCAAUUGGAUUACAAAAAGUACGCUUAGGCGAUAUUAUCAGCCAAGAGUGCAGCUGGAACAGAGCAACUGAUGGUUGGGACUACGACAACAACGAUGAGGUUGACUAUUGAAAUUAAGAGGGCAUACAUUGGACUGCUCCUCCACAGCGUGUCACACACAUAUUCAAACACACGUGCGCGCGGCAAGCACACACGCGGCGCGCGCGUUACCUUUGAUGCGACGCACAUAACAAAGCGAAAGGUAUACGCCGCGGUGGCUAGUGACCAGUCAAGAGUCAACGCGCAAUUGCGAUUUUUUUACCGCCUUGGACUUGAACUGCCGCUGCCUACUGUUGGCGGCUGCUGACUUCAAUCUUAUUAUACGAGUACGAUGAAAAGGAACGAAAAUUUUCAGUGGUAGGCGAACGCAAAACUGCACAAAGGUGAAUACAAUGCGGAAUGCUUUCUAAGAUUCUUGUCGUUGUUGAGUAAAUGCAUUUCGAAUAUUCGUUGUUGGCGGCAUUGCCAUCGGCUGCAACAGCAGCAAGGGCAACAACAGAGGAGGCAUCUGCUCGCUAGUUGGUAGAUGAGUCAACAACAAUAAUAAAUGCGCCUGCGUUGUGCCUGCGGGCCAAGUGGGCUGUGGCCGAAAAUUGAAGUACGCGCCUAAUCGAAAGCAGUGGCUUGGCGAUUGUGGUGGUGAUGGUGACGGCGGCGACGGCGACGGCGACGAACGCGUGCCGUUGUUCUUCAAAUGCUUUGGAUGCUGCCGCCACCACCACCACCGUUUCCACGCAAUUAAAUUUACGAAUGUUGCCAAUGUAAAAGCGCACGUGGUCACCAAAUACUUAGUGAUCAACCGCGCCCAGAAGCCGCUAAGUCGGGGAGCUUGAACAGAGUAUGUGGAGGGUUUAUGCACU